UCGAGCUGUCAAACAGAUAAACAAGCGUUAUUUGGACACAAUGAAACAAACCCAGCUGCUUUGGGUGCUGUUAGAGAAUACAUUGAAACAGCAAUUAGUGCAGUAGAAGAUCACAGUAGUAGGAGACACGCAAGCAGAAAGGACUCUCCCUACUUUGUUUUUACAUUUGCAGGUGUGAAAUCUAAGCCAGGAAUGCCCAGAGCCAGGAAUGAACCUUGUAACACAACCAGGAAUACAACACUGAUUUCUCAAAGUGCUAGUUCUUAACUCUGUCACUAAAAACACUGUUCUUCAAGUCAAAACAUUGAGAUGCAACUUGAAUUUUUACUGUAGGGAACAUGCUGAAGGUCACAUGCAGCCAAAGGGCUGUUUGUACACAGGCGUGUUAGUCCUUCUCACUUCUUCUUCCCUUUCAGGCUGUGCAUCCCCAGCAAACCACAAAUUCCUCAGCCCGGCAGCACUGUUCCAGCCACCUCUCGUAGCUCUGGGACGUCAUCCUGUACAAGUACACGAAACGCCUCUUCCCUGAGCAUUGAGCCUCACACAGGCAGAAAAGUCAGCAGCAACCCGCAUGGUUUGAGAGAGGCAAAUCUGAGUUAUCUGUGCUCUUGAAACAGCCUGGAAAUCUGCAUGGCACCAUCCUCGACUGCCCUCACAAGUACAGACUCCAGCCUGUUGUGCACAAACAUCCCUUUGCAAGAGAAGAGAAAGAAGUUCGAUGCUCAUCAGCUAGGACCAUCAAAACGCACCGAAAUGCAGACCCAGAAAAGCUUCUGAUCUGAAGUGCCCAACUCUUCUGCACUGCCCAGCUGCCACUCCUGGCUUUAUGUUAUCCUGCACAGCAGACACAACCAGGCCCUCGUGACGUGGGUGAGCGUGGCACUUUAAAGCACAGCACAGGAUUCCCCCCUACAUCUUUGCUUGCAGAAGCUUGUCCCAUGGAUCUUCUCUCACCAAAACAUGUUGUCAUCUAACAUUGGGCAGUUCUGGAUGAAGCUGUGCUUGGCCCAUACUUGGCAAGACAGUCACACGUAUUCCUCAAUCCCAUGUCAACCUUACAUCACUUUUAAUAGCAAAUUAUGCUAAUAGGGCAGCAGCUAAUACUGCUACAUUAUAUUAUAUUAAGUAGACCUCAAAGCAAUUCUGCUCUGCAGUGAGGUUGCUCCUGUUGUUAAGCCCCAGCAUUCAUUAGUGCCCGUCUCGUUCUUCCUGCACGAACCUGACAAAGACACUCUCUGCACCUUGGGUAGCACUUCCAAGGAUGAGCUAUGUGUCCACCCUCGAAAUAUUUUCUGCUUGAACCUCUUCGUAUCUAUUCUCUUGGCAGCGCUCACGUUGCGGCCCACCGUAAAUAUCUAAAAGAAAAAUGCAACAGAGGUCAAUUUGCAGUCAGAUCAGCUGCAACGAGAUGCUAAUCGAACUGGAGAAAUACAGAAGCCAUUUCACUCAGUAAAAUCAUGCCCAACAUUUGCCAGUAAACGUGUUGUGCAGAUUAUCCAGUUUAACAUCUGUGCCUUACAAACAAUUUAGUUGGGGUAAGACAAUUAUUAUCCCCUAUUUUCAUCAGAAUUAACAGACAUCACAAUUAACAGACAUCUUUACUCCACAGCAUCCCAGUGACCUCAUGAAACAUAACGAGGCACUGAGUUUGCUUUCAGUUACCUUCCAUCGAAUUUUCACUCUUGUCGAUUUACUGUCUGAAAGCACUCGUGUGCUCUUAAAAAACAACGCAGACAGAGAGCUCCUGAACUCAGACAAGAGGAUAAAUGUCCGGCAUGGGCAGGCACGGUGGGAGAAGGGGUUUUGUUUCUUCAAAUAUCGCAACCUGAGCCAGGUUUCCAUUGCACUGACUUUUCCUCUCCCUCAGACCCAAAGAGCCAGAAACAGAUGUUCAUUUUGAAGAAAAGGGUUACAGACAUAAUGAAAU
Non-coding RNA from Anas platyrhynchos (mallard), 1927 nucleotides. Lineage: Eukaryota; Metazoa; Chordata; Aves; Anseriformes; Anatidae. The record is from RefSeq and is a predicted model, not a curated record.